AUAUUUCUUCAUCUUCCACCGAAUACAGAGAAAAGAAACAGCCAUGGUUGUGUUUUAGGGUUCGGCAUCUUCAUGGCUCAAUUUAUUGAGAUAAUCGAGAAUUGGAUCUAGAACGGGGGAAAAAUAAAGUACCGGACUAAUUGAUCCGUUCCGUCAUUUUAACGAUCGAGGUUUAUGUAGCUAGCUCGGGUUGGAGAUCGUCGGAGAUUCAAUCACACUAUCAAGCUAUCAUUUGGGGUAUAAGUAUUCAAAUACUUAAGUCUAUGGCAUGUCUAUGCUGAUCAUAGGAUUAUUCAUGUGUAUUUGCCAAUGUUUUAUGGUGUGAUCAUGUUGUUUGAUAUGGAUGACUGUGCGCAUACGACUUAAGUACUCGAUGAUUGAUUUUGGCAUAAUUGGCAUAUGGAUAGAUUAUAGCAUAAGUGUGAAAUGUGAAAAUGUAUUAAUGAUAA
Long non-coding RNA from Gossypium arboreum, 449 nucleotides. RefSeq lists it as uncharacterized. The transcript has 3 exons. The record is from RefSeq and is a predicted model, not a curated record. NCBI's taxonomy places the organism in Eukaryota, Viridiplantae, Streptophyta, Magnoliopsida, Malvales, Malvaceae.